Molecule: non-coding RNA, 5737 nt
Organism: Mus caroli (Ryukyu mouse)
Lineage: Eukaryota; Metazoa; Chordata; Mammalia; Rodentia; Muridae
Source: RefSeq, a predicted model, not a curated record
AGAAGACUCCAAAGAUGUCCCACAUUCAAAGAAAGAUAAAGAAGUAACUGAUGAUGUAUCUUCACCAAAGAAGCAAACACGUCCCAUCAGUUUCUUCCAAUGUGUCUACUUGAAUGGGUACAAUGGCUAUGGGUUUCAGUUUCCUGUCACACCUGUCCAACAACCUGGAGAGAACCCUGGCAAAACAAACUCUCCAGGACAGAAGCAACAAGAACAAUAGACAGCCAUGCAUGACCCUGACAACUGCUUUUACACGGUGAAAGUGGAAUGUCCUCUUUUGUCCACGGUGGCACGGGCAAUCAAAACUAUCUGAUGCUGAGAUUUCAUUGUAAACAUUUUGCCUGACAUAAAGAGAUGACAUAGACAAAGGAAUUGACUAAUAAGCAGAUGUGUUCAGGGUCUAAUACUUGAGAAUCUUCAUUUGUGUCUGUUGCUAUAGGAGGGAUACUUACAUUUAGCUCCUUCUAGCUGUUAUAAGGCAGUAUGUUCAUUAAAGUUUACUUUUAAAUAUAAUUGGAACAAUUACAAAAUGAGAUUUAUGAUUUCAGGUAGGGAAUUUUUAAAUUGGUAACAUAGACUGUGUUCUAAUUUUAAAUAGUACAGGAAUAUAUAUAAAAGUUAUUCUUCUGCAUCAUGUGGGUAGACUCAGUUUACCCAAAAAACCUAUGUCUAUCAUUAUAUUCACUUCUGUUUCUAGUUCAGUUAUGGCAAGGCUCUACAUAGGUAUAUCUUACACCAGAGUGCUCUAAAUCCCUUGCAAUAUUCUUAAGGAUCAGACUAUCUAAAAGAUGGGACAUGACAAAGAAUAAGUGCUUGUUGGAUCUUAUCUCUGAGGUUGUCUUGGGCUAUGCUUAAGACAUUCUCUCUUAUCUACAUAUACUUGCAGUUAAGCACAUUUGGUAAAUAACUUGUUUAAUAUGCAAGUUAAUGAGAUAUGAAAUUUUCACAUCUCUCCAGAUUGUGCCUCAGUAAAUCCAUCACCUGGAUAAAGGUUUAGUUCAAACAACAACAACUAAGGUUGACCAAUCCAAACAUAGUUAUUUCUCAAUACAUACUUUCUGUGAGAUUAAAUGUUUUCUUUUUGAAAUGGAAACAAUACAAAUGACAUAAAACUUUAAGUGAGAUAUUUUGGGCCUAGACAUGUUCAUGAGAUGUCUUACUUUCUUUUGGCUAAUUGAACAGUAAUGCCAGUUAAAUGAAUGGCAAUUUUUAACUUUCUUGUCCAUGCAUCACUGAAAAUAACUGUUGAGAAUGUUCAUCGUUUUGGUAAUACAAACACUAGAUUUUCAUGAACUUUUCUUAUCUAGAAAACAUAAUUGGACCUUUUCAUCAUGUUUCUACUUGUAGCUGAACUUAUGACAAAUUAACUCACAAAACAACUUGAGUUACCAUUUUGGGCACUAUCAUAAGCUCAGCCAAUGCUGAGCUACUGACUUUGUGAACUAGCUGUGUGAUUGGUUUCAAACACUGCAGCCAAACUAGUUCUUGAGGUCUAAGACAAAAGUCCAUUUUAUCAAUAUUCAGGUAGGAUAUGGACCAUAUACUCAGCAUUAACGAUGGUAUGUCGGUGACUUUUGUAAGAAAGUUAGCUUCAACCAAAUGCUGAUAGACUGAAUUCACACCAAAAACGUCAACACUACAAUGUACUAGAUUAAUGGAGCCAUUUGGAGGGGAAGGAGUACAUAAUUGACCAGAGUUUCAUUCAGCAAUUCAAACUUACAAGGAGAACAGUGGAUAAAGUGCUCUACUUAGUUGAAGUUUCACUAAUUUCCUGAGUAUGGGACAGAGAAUAAAUGUGUUUUAAAACACAUGCUACAGAAUGGGUUAUCCACUAAGUUAUUAUCUUUCAAUGACUAUGCACUUAGUCUUUCUAUACUGUUUCAUGUUAUAGACCAUGAAACAUAGUACAGCAAUAGAUUCUACUUCAUGUUAUUCUGGCACGGUUUAUCUUUCAAUGACUAUGCACUUAGUCUUUCUAUACUGUUUCAUGUUAUAGACCAUGAAACAUAGUACAGCAAUAGAUUCUAUUUCAUGUUAUUCUGGCACGGUAAGUAACAUUCAAAAAAUGCAUUAUAUGUAUUAGGUCUGUAUCUCCAGGUUUCAAAGAACCAUCAAAACAAACAGCUCAGUACUUCACAGAGUUACUCUGUAGCUAGAUAAAGUGUCUUAAUAUGGGUUUGUUUGAAAGCAUUCUUUGAAAUUAUGUUUUUGGAGAUUACAUUAAUCUUAUCUCUACCAACUUUUAAAUAUCAUCAUCUAUUUUCUUUGUGAAACAAAUUGACAAAAUAUAACAAAUGUUAUUGUAAAUUUGGGUGUGAGUUAGAGAAAAAAUAUGAUGUAAUAGUUAACAAUAGUUGUUAAGGUUUGUCUAAAAUUUGAAUAACUAGUAUAAUUUGAAAAAAUUAUCUAAACUGUCAUCUGUUAUAUUUUUACAUUAGUAAACUACUUCUGACUCUUGAGUUUAAUGGUUUGUAUCUUGAAAAGAAAAGGCAUGAAUAAUUAAUUUUUCAUUUGAAAUUUUCUUUCAUGGUUAAUUCCAUAUUGUUCAAAAUAUGUAAAUAACUGCUUAAUAUUUUUGCUUUGUCUAGUGGGAUUGAGUCCCCCCUACUCCUGCAUACUCUCAUCUUUUAUCCAUCUUGGUAUUUGAAAAUAUUCAGCAAUAAGAACAUUUAUUUUAACCUUAGUUCUCUACAGUUAUAUAACUUAUGCUCAUCAUUUUUCAAAUAUAACCAAAGUUGUUUUGUGUAUUUUCCUCAUGAAAAGGACCUCUCUGUGGACCCAUUCUGAUAUAUUCUUGUCUAAACUCUUCAGGGAAAUAUUUCAGAAUUGUUACUGCAUAUGUAAGAACUCUGCCUAUUUCUUGAAUAAUCUUGCUGGAUAAAAAAGGCAAGAAGAAUAACAAAUAUUGUUGGUAGAAAACUAAGAACUCAUCUAUUCCAACAAACAUCUUCAAGAAAUGAAAAUGCAAGAGAUAUAAAAUGACAAUUUUUUUAAAAAAUCACCAAUUUAAAUGGGUCAAUGUGAGAAAUGUAUUCAAUAACUAGUCAUGUCUAGUUUCUAUUACACUAAUAGUGAGUAGAAUUAAAAAGAGAGGCUACCCUUCAUAAUCAUGGCUUCAGAAGAAGAGAUAACUGUGGAUUUUUGUGGAACAUGUAGAAGUUAUUGGAACCUUCAAAGCUAGGACUUGAACCUUAGCUAACUCUAAUUGUCCUUCCCUACUUCUUGGGGUAUUUUUAAAUUUUUUGUAUUACUUAAAAAUUAUAUUUGCAUUGUCCAUGUACUUGCAUAAAGUAGUAUAACUGGAUUAAAGGUACUGCAGAAAACAGAAUCAGAGUAUAAAUCCCCUAGAGUUGAAAUUAUGGGAUGUCAUGGGCUGCACAUUGUGGAUACCAGCCACCAACCUCUGUUUCUCUGGAAGAGCACCAUAUAAUCUAACAAUUUAACCAGCUCUCUGGCCAUUUCAGCUUUUAUAACAAAUGCAGACUGUUUUUUCUAGUAGCCUCCAAAUUUAUCUUUAGAAUCAUAAUCAAUAUUGUAAACCACUGUGCAAAGACUUACUUUUUCUGCCAUGUUCCUUCUACAUUAUGUGAAAAAAAGAAAAUGGACCCUAGAGGAGCUAGGGAACAGACUAGUUGUACCUUGCUUAUCAGAAGGUUAUGUUGUGUUAUGUUAUAACCUUUUGUUACCUGAGUUUCUUUUUGUUAUUUGAAAACUCCUUAAGACAUGGGAACUCAGCACAACUUUCUAUGAAUUAUUCUUGUUGAGUUUUUUUUUUUCAAUUUUGUGUCUGUGUUCCACAGUUUCUUUACCCUUAUUAAUCAUAUAUGCUUAGAAACAUCCAGAUAUUCCUGGAGGAACUUUCCUUUGUACACAAAAUAAAGAGCUUUAGCAUCCACAAGCUAUUUAACUACAUAAAAUCUUAUUAGUCAUUUCAAUCAAAAUUCCAAUCAUUGCUUCAAACCAAACUGUGUGUAUGUGUUUGUGUGUGUGUGUGUGUGUGUGUGUGUGUGUGUGUGUGUAGCUGGCCAUAUGGCAGCCAUACAAUAGUAUAAAUAGGAUUAUUGAGUUGUGAGUAGUUGGGAACAAGCCAAUUUAAGGCCUAGCCAUUAAUUAGUUAAUAAAUAAAUAAGCUUCUGUGUCAUUAUUCAGGAAAUGUGGUAGAUAUAGGAAAGCCCAAAUGGUUACAAAAGUGCUGUGGCACAAACCCUUGUACACAUGGGGCCACCAACUCUGAUGCUAGAACAACACUGAUUACUAAACUUCUAUGCUUCUCUGUAUCAAUACAAAAUUAAAACAAAAAUCUCACCACCACACCCAUGUCUUCAUCUCUUGGUAAGAAAGCACUCUAUGCAGAGAUCCUGUUAUUAAGACUCUUCAACUUCUUAUUGACCCAGAUGUACCCUGCUCUGAAAACCUAGUGUAGCUAAGUCACAUAAAUCAGAGUAACACAUGACAAUCAGGACAUUUAGAGCAAAACACAAAGAUAGAAGCAUUGCCACUAGCAAACACAGUUUUUCUUUUUUAAAGUAAUCGCUGUUAUGUGCUUUCAUGAAUUGCAUAAAACCAAUGACAACAGAAUGAUCCUUCACUCCGUUUGAUCAGCACUCUGAAUAAAAAGCUAAGAUGGAACAGGGACUCACAUAGCCCAAAGUCACUGACAUAAACUUAGUAAUAAAUUAUAGGUCUCAGAGUGUUCCAACCAUCUGUUCAAAAGGUUAGGGCUGAAAUAAAUACCAUCUACAGAAUCUCUAAAUCUGUAGCAUUCUAUUUUGCUUAAGAAAAUAGUUACAUCAUCCCCCAACCUCCUCCUUUCAGUCUCAGUAUCUUCCUCUGUCUCAGUCUAUCUCUGUCUCUGCCUGUCUGUAUUACUCUCAUGCACACACACACACACACACACAAACACACACACAGUUAAAUGCUAAUCGUUUUGUAUAUUUAUUAUAAACAUGGAUAUAGUUGAUAUUGAAGUUGUACUCUUCAGACUACAGGCAAUGUUUUCUACUAAUAGGACACAUACUAAGUUCCUUUUCUGUUUUAGAGAUAGGGUUUCUCUAUGUAGUCUUGGCUGUCCUAGAAUUCUUUCUGUAGACCAGGCUGCCCUCAACCUGCCUCUGCCUCCCAAGUGCUAGGGUUAAAGACAUGCCUACCACACCUAACUAGUUCCUAUAGUUUUAAGAAGGGAGAGUGCAACUAGUACAUACAUUGUUUGAAAACCAAAAUAGUUUUAGAAACGAAGACUAAGCACUGUUAUUCUGUUCCUGCUGGCUCUAUUCCCUGUUUUGUCUUUUUAAAUCCUACAGCUAGUCCUGAUUAUAGUCAUGUUUCCAUUUCAUAGUGCUGCACAAAAUGCAAGUGCAUACUUACUCUUUUCUUACUAAAAUAUUCCAUUUAAGAGACACAUUUGCCUCCUUUUCUGAACAAUAUGGACUAGAUUAUAUGUCCAUAUCAGUGUAUACAGUGCUUUAUUGAGAAAUACAGACAAGGGUACAGAUCCUGUCCAUAGUCUCCUGUCCAUAGUAUCUUGUAAGCAUUACAAAUACAAAACUAUGCACAUCUAAGAAAUUAUAGCCAGAGCAAAAUAUAGCACACUAAUAGCACAUCCAAAGCCUUGUUUGUAUUCUAUUCACGCCUCCUUGGCAACCAUCCUGGUAUCUAUCAUCAUAGAAUUUACUCUGCAUAAAAUUUGACUUUUACAUGCAUAAAAUAGUAAACAAUGUAGUUUCUAUGACAAGUUUCU